This 240-nucleotide unclassified non-coding RNA is filed under the name soil metagenome. Its description in RNAcentral is "partial contains 5.8S ribosomal RNA, internal transcribed spacer 2, and large subunit ribosomal RNA". The record is from RNAcentral.
AACGCACGAGACCUGCGGACCUGCGGAAGGAUCAUUAAUGAGAAGCUGCCCCUCGUGGGUAGACCUCCCACCCUCUGUGAACUUACCUUUGUUGCUUUGGCAGGCCCGUCCUCUGGACCGCCGGCUUCGGCUGGCCCGUGCCUGCCAGAGGAUUCCAAACCCUGUCUGUCAGUGUUGUCUGAGUCUAUAUGAAAUCGUUAGAACUUUUAACAAUGGAUCUCUAGAUCGGAAGAGCACACG